Molecule: ribosomal RNA, 329 nt
Filed under: uncultured eukaryote
Lineage: Eukaryota
Description: partial 18S ribosomal RNA
Rfam family: Eukaryotic small subunit ribosomal RNA
Source: RNAcentral
CCCUUAGAUGUUCGGGGCUGCACACGCGCUACACUGGAGGAAACAGCGUGUAUUGACCUGGUCCGAAAGGACUGGGUAAACCUGUGAAACUUCUCCGUGCUUGGGAUAGCGGAUUGCAAUUGUUUCGCUUCAACGAGGAAUUCCUAGUAAGCGUAAGUCAUAAGCUUGCGCUGAUUACGUCCCUGCCCUUUGUACACACCACCCGUCGCUACUACCGAUUGGAUGGUUUAGUGAGAUCCUCGGAUUGGUCCCGGAGCGGCCUCUGGUCGUGCCGGAGUGCCGAAAAGAAUGUCGAACUUGAUCAUCUAGAGGAAGUAAAAGUCGUAACA